GGGUCGCAGCUCGCCCCGGCGGCGGGUAGGCCUCGACCGAGCGCUCGCGGGCCGGCGGGUGCGCAGGGCGCGGCUUCCCCCCCCGGAAGAGGCCCCGCCGGCCCGCGGGCGCACCAGCCACGGCGCCGCUCUCCGCAGUCCCACCGGCGAGGACUGCCGCCGCGUUCGAGGAAGGACAAUACCCAGCAGCACGAGGCCCGGGUGCCAAUGUCAGGCUUUCCUGCGGGGCUCCUUGAGGCUCUUUUUCAAACAUCAAAUGAUGCAGCCUUGCUGAUCCCCCUAAUCCAGUACUUAAUCUACCCACCGGGCAUUCAUUCAGCGGGAGAAUUAGAUUCUGCUGGGGCGGACCUAGCUUCUGCCCUGCCGCCGUCCACUGGUCGCUCCCCUUGGGGGCUAGGGGGAGACGGGGGUUACACAGUUGCCCUGAGGAGAGUGAGAGGCAGAGACGAGAAGAGGCGGUGACCCCAGACCCAGCCCAGGACUGAAUUCACCUUCCUCCCCGGCCCCUUGCUCUGGAGGGAAGGGGCAGAGAAGCUCCCACCCCUCCACAGACCUUAGGGACUUGGACUAGAAACAGCCCGGGAGGCAUUAAACAGUGUGUUACUUUGACUUCCUGCUUCCUUUUGGAGCAGUCCCAUUCCAGGGCAUCCUUUCCUCCAACCCUCCUUGCUUCCUCCCCACGCCCGAACAUCCUUGACAAUCUUGUUCUGUUUUCUCUAUAGCGCUUGCGCAAUCCAGUUUUGUUUAUAACAUUUGACUUGAAAUUAUCUUGUGUGUUGAUUUAUUUACUCUGUCUUCCUGCCCCUAACACCUUUCCCCCUUUAGGAUAAAAGCUCCAUUGGAGCCAGGACUUUGUACGCAUCACUGCUGUAUCCUCAACACCAUGUGCUUGGAACACAGGAGGUGCCCAGAAAUAUUCUGAGCCUUUUGUCAUAGUAUGAAGAUUUUCUACAGUAUGGAAUUUGUUUCUGGCUCUUCAUUUUUUCCCCUGAGGUUCUUGACAGUGAGGACAAGCUCUGGAGUGCUCUCCUGAAAAUACAGCCUCCCUUGCUACCUAAACCCAGUGAAAGGCCAGCCUAGGAAAAGAUGGACCCUCCUCUGACCACUGGUGGAGUGCGGCAGCAGUGGGCGAUGCAGCCACUCCCUGUCCUCUUCUGUGGAACCUAGGACCUCAGGGCUCAGUAGCUGCAGCCAGAGUUGCGACUCAGGCCAUCUCUUCCUUCUACCCUACAGGUGGCUCCCAGCCUGUCUCCUGCACCUUCUCCCUGUUCCUGUUCCUCUCUGCAAGGCUUUGGUUCAGGCUAGGAGUAGCUACAUAAUUUGUAGGCCCCAGAUAAAAAGGAAACUGUGAGGCCCCUUUUUCAAGAUGGGACAGCAGAGUACUGUCACACCAAGUGUAGGGCCCCUCUGAGCGGGGGCCCCUGUGUGACUACAGGUCACACACACAUAAAGCUAGUCCUGGUUCUGGCCCUUUCCCUUGGCUGUCUGAGGGACCCACCUGAUGCGGGGUCGGUGAGCCGAGGAGUCGAAAGAAAGAUUUCUUUAGACUCUUAA
Molecule: long non-coding RNA, 1554 nt
Organism: Equus caballus (horse)
Lineage: Eukaryota; Metazoa; Chordata; Mammalia; Perissodactyla; Equidae
Source: RefSeq, a predicted model, not a curated record